AAUGGAUCUCCUUAAGAUAAUUAAAAGAUACAGAUCAGACAUUGAUCCAAAGCUUCAGCAGUUUGAUGGGAAAUGCUUAAGUACUUUUAGCAAGGAAGAUUUGUUACAAGUAGCCACCAAAAUAAAGAUACAAUUAAAUGACAUUUUAGUGCUCCUAGACGUGGAUGACACGAGAGAAAACUUAUGCAAAGUUGUUAGUUUUGCAUUAGAGCAAGAAUACGCAUUGAAAGAGGAUAAGGUUGACGAACCUCCAAAGAAGAAAAAUAAAACUACAGAAAACAAGUCGUCAGGGGUAAGUUUAUUUGACAAAUAGAGUAUGAAUAAUAUAACAAAGGGUUAUGAGGAAAGUUUGAGAAAACGAUGAGUGUAAUAGAUAAUUAUACAGAAAUGAACAUGUCAUAAAGGUCAUCGUAUGCAAGUAUAUAUAUAUGUGUAUGAAUAAUGUUUAAAUAAUAAGUUCAAAAUGCAAAUUAGUACGCACGUGUUAAUGAAACUUUAUUGUUAUAUAUUUAUUUAGAUAUUUUGUUUCAUAUUGAACGGGCACAGAUAUUUUAAAGUUAGAAUAUUUGUUUAGAAAAGUGACAACGGAAGAAUGCAAGUAAACAAAAUAUGUUUUGUCGGGUGUUCUAUUUGAACGUGAGACAAAGAAUGUCUAAUGAUAUUAUCAUGUGUAUAUAAAUGUUGAAACUCAAUUAUUUGCAUAUUGUUCGGGCACGAUGCUCGAACGUGAAUAGAGGUACAUAGAAAAAAUAAUAAUAAUGAUGCGGCGAGUAUUACGCUCGGUCGUGGAAAAAAGUAAAUAAAAAAAUAAUUGUUCAAGUUUUUGAACGUGUAAAAAUUUUGUUGGUUAAAAUAAAAAAAGAAUAGUUUUGGAUAUUUCAAUUUUGACAUAUCAAAUUAUUAUUGUUCGGGCUUUAUGCUCGACCGUGAAUAGAGAGAGAAAAAAAAUAAAUAAAAAAAAAUCGUAUUUCAUUUAAAUGUGUUUGGGCAUGAUGCUCGGAUGUGAAUAAAAUAAAGUAAAGAAGAGAAGGAUGAAGAUGAUGUUAGCAAUUUGUUCAAGAUUGUUUCUUGAACGUGUACGCAUUAAGUGGCUAGGAUUAACGUGAUGGGGAAUGUGAUAAAAGGGAAAAGAGAAAAUUGCUUAGGAGACAAAACGCUUUUAUGGGGGUUGCGGUUUUGUGUUUGAUCGUGAUAAGGAAGAAUUUACUUGGUGGUAUUAUUAUGUAUAUUAAAGUAUGUCUCAAAAGAAAUUACAAAACAUAUUUGUUUUAGCAUCAUGCUCGAACGUGAACAAAGAAUAUGAUUUUUACUAUUUAUGAGGUCAUUCAGAAAGGGAAAUAUAGAUACGAUUAUCAAUAUUAGUGGCUAAAUGGAGUUUGCACACUCAUAUCGGCAAACAGCAGAAAUUUAUAAUUUUUAAAAAAUAACUUACUGUAUAUAAACAUAAAAGAGGGAUACUUAAAGAAAACUUGAACGUGUGUUGAAAGGUGGUAUUUCAAAAGAUGUAUUCUUGAGCUCGAAGCAAAUAGGUUAAGUACAAUUUUGAGUUAGAAUGUCAAAUAACCAGAAGAGUUGUUUUACGUGUUAUAGGGUGGUAUUUAAGAGAAAGUGAGAAGGAAAGAACACCUUAUGAAAUACGAGUGAAAAGGGAAACCGUAGAAGCACAUUUUUUCUGGUUUUUUAAAAUCAAACUCUGCAAAUUAGAAUCGGUGUCAAAUUGAUUAAUUGGCUGUUUAAUAUAAAGCAUGCAUAUAAAUGACACAUUAUAAUUGUUCUUUUACUUACAUUAAAUAUGACCUUGUACACGGUUUUGUAAUAAGCUUAAAGGGGACCGUUACUAUUUGGGUAUAGCGAUAUAUCAAGUUUAAAAAGUUCGAACGGCGUUACAAAAAAAAAAAAAAUAAUAAUAUUUAAGAGUGCAUAAAUUUAAGAAAUAUAAAUUUAUAACAGUCGAUAGAAAAGCAUAUUCAAUUUAUUUAAAUAUAUUUUACAUUUAACUUAAUAUUUGAUCUUAAAAGAAAGAGAGGAAAAAAAUGUAACAUUAUUCGCGUAUAGAUACAAAGCAUGUUAUUUAUUGAUACACAAGAUUUGCUAAUUGACCAUGUUGUUUGUUAAAGCGAGAACAUAAUUUAUUGUGUACAAAGUAAACUUUUAUGGGUUAGACACUAAUUGGAUGUUGUUUGAUGAUUAGUUUUGAAUCAACAAUCUGAACAGAAUAGAAGUCCACAUCAGCGGGGUGUAUUUUUAUAACAGGCGGUCAAACAUAGACACUUGACAGCUACGCGUCUUCAAAGAUAUCAAUAUUUAUUUAAGAGCAGAUUUCAGCAACAUGAGUGUGAUAAAACUAAUAAGAUGAAGCCCUUGGCAUGGGUUACAUCAGAGGUUAAUUUGCUUGGGAAGGUGGCAUCUGUGAAUUUGUUCCACGUGAAGUUUUACAAGAAUAGUACUUACGUUUAAUUAUUAAAAACGAAAGAAAAAUUAAAAUAAAAUAAAUAAAACAAAUAUGUAUAAAAUAUAAACAGAUAUCUUACAUAUUUAUAUAUAAUAAUAAUAAUAAUUUACAUGAUAGUACAUACACUAAUAAUGUACGUAUACAUGUUUCAUUAACUUAAUUCAUUGCCUUAAUACUAAUUAACAGGCAUGUACAGUUUUAAAGUUUUAUUAGAUAAAUUGAUGUCAUUAAACGAUUAAUGUAAAAGAUUUUAUUCAAAUGUGGUAUUUGUCUUUUUUCAAAGACAAGUGAUAAUGAAUGGGCGUGAACGUAUUGUAUUUAUAUUAUAUGUGUACUACGGAUUUUGGUUUAUGAGAAAAAGAGAUGUAUGAAAAUAACGGAUCUAAUUAAGAUAUUUGCUAACUAUUUUUCAUAUAUGUGAUUUAUACGUGUAAAUUAGUGUAUAAAUAGAGCAUGUGUAGAAGAAGUGGUAGGGAGGAAUUCGUAGGUGUUGUAGCCAGAAUGUAUGAAAUAUUCAAUACAAUAUUUAAGGACAAUAUUUGCUAUGACUUACAUGUGAUUUGGAGUGUAUUUUAUAAGACAAUAAUCUAGAUAAAUGCUUGAAAUUAAGAUAUAGUACUUUGCUUCAUUUGUAUAGAUGAAGACAUUAGAAGAGAAAAUAGCAGAGCUUGAGAAAAAGUUAGAGAAAAAACAAGCUGAGACGAGUUAGAAGAGAAAAUAAAGCAGAGAGAGAAAGUAGUAGAAGAAGACACGAGAAUUGACGAGUUAUUUAGGAAAAUUUAGAGAGAUUAAGAGGCGGCCAAGAGAGACGUUAAAGAUGAGGCUGCAAAAGGAAAGGUGGAUAUUGAUGUUUUACAUGAAAGAUUGAUAUUACUAGACAAUUUGGCGAGAAAGCAAAAUCAUGACUUAAAGGACAAAAUAAACUUAAUACUAAGUAGAUUUCAUAUACACAAAAGUAGACCAAAUUUUGCUGCAGCUUUAGUGUUGAAACUUGUUUGCAACAAAGAGGAGGAAGCGAUACUUGACAAAGAACAGAAGUUACUUAAGACAUUUGGUUUCACUGAUGAUGACAAUUAUAAUAUGCAAUCUCAUAAUUUGUACAUGCAUGGGCCAGGUUUUAUGGGAAAUUCUUUUGGUCAAGGCACAAGGUCAAUCUUACGGAAUGCCUCCUCGCUUUCCAGGUCCACCCCGUCGCGGUAGGGGGCGUGGUAAUAGUCACAAUCUAUGUUUUUAAAUGUAACAAGCCGGGUCAUUUGUUAGGGAUUGUCCAGCUAACCAAAAUUCUUGCAAGUUCAAAUUAAAUUAUUUACAUAAUUUUUAAAACAAGUAAAAUACAUCUUCCAUUCCGUUAGUUAAAUUCAUACUUAUUUCGUUUCAGGAUGCAUUUCGGUUAAAACCAUGGGAAUUAAAAAUAAAUUUGGGAACAGAUCCUACUUCAGUAACAGUUAGACGCCCGACGUUUGUUAAUUUUGAAAACAAAAUUAUUGAUAAUAGUAGGGAGGUUGUUUCAGCAGAGGAGGUUUAUUCAAAAGCAAUGGAUGAUGUAUCUCCAGAUAUACAAAAUUGAAUUUUUUGAAUCCGAAAAAAUUUUGUUGCUGGACAAAUUCAUACAAGGUUAAAGCAAUGGGAGAAAAUAUUAGCUUGUUCGUAUUCUUCAGAUGAAAUUUUAGAUUGACUAGUUCAUGGUGUAAAUAUUAAUAAUUACAUGGUACAUUUUAAAGGAGAUUUCUGGGGACACCAGUAUGAUGAUAAGUUCCCACCUAGCAGAACAUUCAAUAAUUCAAAUAAAUGCAAAAAGUUUUCUACGUUCAUAACAGAAACCGUUGUGGAUAGACUUAGAAAUGGUUCAAUUGAAUGCUUAGGAAAAGUAGGUUUAGCUAAACCACCCCACAUUGUAGCACCUUUAACCGUCGAGCCAACAAAACCUAGAUUAUGCAUUAAUCUAAUGUAUUUGAACAAUUGGAUCAAAGAUAUACCGUUUAGUUUAGACACUCUCAAAAAUGUACCUCGAGCCGUUAGAGAAAAUGCAUAUUUUACCUCAAUAGAUGAUAAAUCAGGUUUUGAUAAUGUUAUGUUAUCCGAGGAUUCCCGUGGACUAGUGGGUUUUCAGUGGGGUGGAUUUUAUUUCAUUUUCAAAACAUUACCGUUUGGUUUUAAACUUUCUAGCUACAUUUAUCACACAUUAAAUCUGCAAGCAACAUCGUAUAUUAGGAGAAAGUUUUUGAUUCCUGUACAUUUGUAUAUAGAUGAUCGUCUUGUCGAGGAAGUAAGAAAACCUGGUUUAAAAGCAGGUGUCAGUUCCGCUUUAUUGGCAAAUUACAUUGUUUGUGAAGUUAUAACUAGAUUAGGGUAUUGCAUUAAUUUAGACAAGACCGUGUUUAUCCCGUCCCAAUCAGUAGUAUUUUUGGGAUUUGUUGUUGAUUCCGUAGCUAGAUGUUUCAGAAUAACUGAGUCCAAAAAACAAAAAUUUAUUAAUUUACGCGAGGAUUGUUUAAGGAAAAGUGCUAUUACGGUGCUAGAUUUACAAAAAAUAGUGGGUCGUUGUAUUUCUUUUAUGUUAGCUGUUCCGGCAGCAAAACUUUACACUCGGGAGAUGAAUAAUGCAAUUUCAUUAGGAAUCCGCAAUCAAACAAGCAUUCCAAUGACAAAAGAUUUAAAGGACGAACUUAAUAAUUGGCGGUUUUUGGAUUCAUGGACAGGAAAGUUAGAAUGGAAAAAAGAAAGACAUUUAGUUGUAAACAUUUAUACAGAUGCUUCUAUGUUCAAAUGGGGUGGAUAUUUUAAAAUAAAUGAUACAGAGCACAAAGUGGGCGAUUCGUGGGCACAUGAAAUGUUAUCGCUUCCUAUUAUGGUACUAGAGGCUAAAGCUUUGUUAUAUGUUUUAAGAUCUAUACGGGAAGACAUAAAGGGUAGUCGGGUGGACGCAAACGUAGACAAUCAGGCCUUGAUAGGUGCUUGGAAUAACGAAGGUUCCAAAUCUAUGAUGCUCAAUUCCACUCUUAAAGAAAUUUUUCAAUUAACUUUGGAUUUAGACGUAAUGUUAAAUUUACAUUUUUGUACCAUCUAAAUUGAAUUUAGCAGAUGAGCCAUCGAGAAAACUUAGUAAAUCGGAUGCGAAAUUAAAUAGCGAUAUAUGGAGUACAAUACAAGAGUAUUUUGGUGACAAUACAGGACACACGAUCGACUUGAUGGCUUUAGAUUCUAAUAGCAUGAUAGACAGAAAUGGUAGAAUUCUAAAACAUUUCACUCCAACUGUUUCUCCGUUGUCGUCAGGUGUAAAUUUAUUUGCCCAAGCCGUGGAUAAAAGUGAAAACUGUUACGUAUUUCCUCCUUUUGCAUUAUUAUUACCGGUGUUGUCUUUCAUCAGGGAGAAUAUGUUAAAUUGUACCGUGAUAUUACGUGCGGAUGGAGUAAUAGCCACAUGGGUUCCAACAUUUUAUGAAUUGAUACACGAUGCUUUUAUUGUUGGUAACAAGGGACAAAAGGGUGUUUUGAAAUAUCCUACAAAGAAAGGUUAUGAUCCAGAUGGUAUAGGGUUAUCUGGAAAUCUGUGGGCAGUUCGCAUAAGUUCAAAGCAAUCUCUGUGUUUUAAUUAUGGAAAAUUAUUAUUUCUUAAUGAACCACUUAUUUCUACUAAAAUUCACUUGUUAUGUAUUGGUGAUUCAAUGAUAAGAUUUUUACAGUGGCGAAAAGAUUUAAAAAACCCAAUGGUAAAUGUGUUUUCACAAGGAGGUGCUCUUGUGAGUGAAAUAACACCCCAAAUUGAGAGACUAACUAGAAUGCAUCCGCCUAGACUUUUGUUUAUUCAUGUAGGUGUCAAUAAUGUAAGCAAAUCCUUUCUGUUUGAAAGCGAGUUCAGCCAGUUAUUAAUUACAACUCAACAAUUAGAACAUUUAGCACAUAUACUUCAGUGCACACGUACGAAUGAUAGGCAUGUAUCUAUUGUAUUAUCAUCAAUAAUUCGGUGUAAAGAUGAAGCUAUAAACGCAAGAUCGGCUAUCAUUAAUGAAAAGAUAGAAAGUUUAUGCAAGCGUAAUUGUUGGAUGUUCAUGGACAAUUCAAACAUUAAUUGUAGACAUUUGAGAGAUUGUGUGCACUUGAAUGAAGAAGGUCAAUUAAUUUUUCUUAACAAUUUGUAUGGUGUAUUAAAAAAUGUUUGGUGAUUUUUCUUGUGUAAAUAUAUAUAUAUGUAUGUGAUAUAAAAAUUUGAGUCAACACUUAACAAUGUAUUUUUGUUUUUUAUUAUCAGGUUUUUAUAUAUUUUGUUUUAGGAGUAUCUCAUGAAAAAAAAUUUGGUGCCCCUACAUAACGUGUUCAAGAUGUGCAGUAACAAAUGACAUAGACUUUAAGUAUUGCAAAGCGUGUGGUUUUGCUAGGGAAAAUAAAGCUACUAAUUACCAGGACGAGAUAAAAAAAAGGAGGAAGUUUUAAAUAAAAUAAACAAUAGAAUUAGUCAGCUAGAUGCUCUGCUAGACGCGGCUAGCUAUUCUAAACAGAAAUGUAGUUUGAAAAAAGAGAUUGAAAAUUUUUUUCAUCUUUUUAGAUUCGCGGAAAAAUCUUACUAAUGCAAGUCCAGAGGACAUUAGGAAAUUUCUCAUUUUCAAAGAAAAGGGUGGGAAAACACAGUUACACGAUAUUAGCUGCCCUUUACGCACGAAACACGGCCUUCAAACUUGCCAAUGCCCAAGGACUUUGGCAUCAAAGUCUGUUGAUUCUUUACUGGGAAAAAUCAGAGCAUUAUUUAGAGACGAGGGUAGAUCAGGAGAGUGGAAUCCUAUGCUUCUUACGGGUAACCCUGCUGCCUCACAUUUGUUAAAAAAACAUCUACAGGUCAUUAAUCAGGAGCAGGCUAACGCUAACAUUUCUGUAAAACAAGCUCCUCCAUUAAUGUUUAGUAAGUUGGGAAAGCUAUGCAGACAUUUAUCAUAUAGAGCUUCAGUUGAGAAAGAUCCUAUUUCGAACUUUCUUUAUGCAAGAGACCUGGCUUAUUUUUCAAUUUUAUGUCAUUCUGGUAGCAGAGGGGGCGACCUUGGUUUAUUGACGGCAGACAGAUGUUUUCAAAUACCCGACUCAGAGGGCAUUUUUGUGUCUCAAACGGCCGGAAAAGUCGCUAAUUUGGAUAAUCCGAGAAAUUUCAUAGUUCUUCCUUCAAAGGAUUCUGAUAUUUGUCCGGUUAAAAACUUAACAAAAUACAUCACAAACGCUAAGGAGUUAAGCAUUACUCUUGCUGAAGGGUAUGUUUUCCGUAUACGAGAUAAAGUGUCACGAAAAAUCAUUAACGAACCAGUUACUUCAUCUUGCAUGACAGAGAGACUCAAAUUACAUUUAAAUGUGUUGAAAUUAUACGAAGGGGAAACUUCCCAUAGCAGUAGGAGAGGAUGUGCAAUUACAUUGCGUAUGCUAGGUGUUAAUGAUGAAGGGAUAAAUCAACACGUAGGGUGGGGCACAAAAAACAUGGUUGAUCAUUAUGCCAAUGUAGGGAAACUGAUAAGUCCUAAAGGACCGGCCUCAAUUUUGUCGCAGGCUGCGGAAAAUUUAGGGAAAGGAAGUUCUUCUUUUGAUAAAGUUUCAAAUCAAUAUACUGGUUUGAGCAAAUUGAAAAGUUUCAGUUUCAAUUAG
RNAcentral lists this small RNA (8071 nucleotides) under Mytilus galloprovincialis (Mediterranean mussel). Lineage: Eukaryota; Metazoa; Mollusca; Bivalvia; Mytilida; Mytilidae. The record is from RNAcentral.